GCUCGGCACGGCGGCCCGACACCCUCGUUAACCGAGCUAUUUAGCAAACUCCGGGGCCUGUCCUGGACCGGAAGUGACUUCUGCCCAGCCCCUGCCCUCUGAGGACGAAUAGGAUGAGUGCGCGGAGAGACAGGCGGUCCGAGAAGAGCGGGGCCGCCGAGGAAACGGUCUGGCGCACCAGGGAGUCCAGGAAAGUCUCCUUGGGUGGUUCAGUUGCUUCUGUGCCAGACGCAGACGGAUUCCUGCGAGAAGGAAGGACGGAGCGUGCUCCCGGUUGAGGAAAGCGUAGUGAGGAAGACAUGGUGUGACUGCUUAAGAUCUAUAGGGAAAGGAGCCCUGUCUGGCCAUGUGAAGGAAAAUCAUAAGAUUUAGUGUUCGUGGACCAAUGGGUGGGUCAAAGGGUGCUAGAUGGGAGUUGGGAUUUAUUUUCGAUGCAUCUGUGAUUAAGGGUAACAUGUAAAUUAAAAGGAAGAGACUACUGUGAGCAUUGCCUGAGGAGGUGGUGGGCGCCACUGGCUGGGGAUUAGUGAAGAUUUUAGGGAGCCAAAUCCUGACCUGGGCCAGCAGAAGUCGGAGGACCCACUGAUGAUCUGGAGUUUUGACCAGAAGCUAAGACGGGCAGCCCUUGGACUAAAUUCAGUGGGUAGACCAGAGCUGAUGUCUAUACACCCUGCACCAAACUGAUGGUGAGAAUAUUGAAGCACUUCAUGAUGUGAACUUGUCGAGAGCCUGGCCUUGCAUCAUGUCUCUCUGCCCAGAGCAGUGCCUGGCUCAGAAGAAGCGCUCAACUGACCAGCUGACCGAUGCUUUUCAAUCUUCUUCCUACACGUCUUUUCUCUGAGCAAUGGCAAGAUGUUCUCUAGCUUUAUUCUGGGUAUCCUGGUAGUCCCUAGUUCAGGGCUGAACAGUCAUAUGUGUUGAGUAGAGAUAGAGAAAGGGGGUGAGAGUGACUUUUAUCUGGAGCCAGGGGCUGUCAGAUCCAUGUCCCAGGGGACCUCUGCCCUCUGCCUGGUCCACCCUCGCAUGGCACACCCCCCUCCCGGAUGAAGCAGACCCAAUACUGGCACACUUCUCUUUGAUAACAUUGCUCUAAGACUCAGCACUGGGCGAGCAGAGACACAAGCUUUCAGUAAGGCUGCUGGGCCUUAAAUCAUGCCUCUGAUUGGAAGGAAGUGUCCUUGCUGGUGAAAAGCCUCAUGUUUGACUGGAAUCUGAAGCUUCAACUACUCUAUCCAGCACACGUAUUUUUCCUGUGCUCCAUGCCAAUGAGAUUACUGCUGAGUUUCUAAUGCUGCAGGGUGGGCGUGGCCUCCCAUAGGAUGCUGCAACUAUGCCUGAGUUAUCCAGUUGUCCUCUCAGUGACAGCUGACCACUUCCUCCCAGAGCUCCUCUGUGUAGCCUGGACCAGCCUUCUGCAUGAGACAGGUGUGCUUCCCAACUUGGCUGUUAUCCGUAAUGUCUCUCAAGGAGCCCAAAUGCCUCUCAAGAGGCUUGGGGCCACAUCUGCCACAAGGAGGCGGGCUCCUGCACUUUGUCUAAUGUUCCCAAGCUCCCACAGGGCAAUGCAAAGCCCACCUUCUAAACAACCACCACCCUGGAGUUUGGUGCCAGAGCCCAGAGCAAUUGAGUGGGAGGUCAGAUCCUUCCCCUUUGAAUAACAACUGGAAGAAUCAACCGAAAUGUCCAUCUCUUGGUGAUUAGUUUAAGAAGUUAUGCUACAUCUAUGGCUGCUUUAGAUAUAGUGUUGAAUGAAAGAAGAAUGGAUUAGAACCAUGUUAUAUAUGUAAAAAUAAAAGAACAUGCAUAUAUAUAUUCCUUUGUAAUGUAUCUAUUCCCUUAGCUCAGUAUUUUUCUUCAAGAAAAUCUGGUGGGAUACACCAGGAGUUGGCAAAGCUUUCCUGUGAAGGGCUGGGGAGUAAAUAUUCUAGGCUUUGUGGGCCAGAGGUCUCUACUGCAGCCCCUCAGCUCUGCUGUUGCUGCAUGAAAGCCCCACAGACAAUCCAGAAGUGAUGAGUACGACUGUGUGCCGAUAAAACAUUAUUUACAAAAACAGCUGGUGGGAUUUGUAGUAAACAAAAAUGUUGAAGUUUGGAGAGGAAAAUACCUAAGAGAUAGUUAAGAAGGGACUCAGCACUAUAAACCCUUGGCACUUGCCAGGCAUGCAGGGCUUCCCUCACUGAAAUGAACUAAAUCACCUUGUCAGGAGACAUCCACGGCCCAGACUGCUUGAGUCCUCCCCUUCGGCAGGAG
This is a long non-coding RNA of Myotis brandtii (Brandt's bat), 2250 nucleotides long. RefSeq lists it as uncharacterized. The record is from RefSeq and is a predicted model, not a curated record. The transcript has 3 exons. Lineage: Eukaryota; Metazoa; Chordata; Mammalia; Chiroptera; Vespertilionidae.